CCUACGGGGGGCUGCAGUGGGGAAUAUUGGACAAUGGGGGGAACCCUGAUCCAGCCAUGCCGCGUGUGUGAAGAAGGCCCUCGGGUUGUAAAGCACUUUCAGUGAGGAAGAACGCCUGGUGGUUAAUACCCAUCAGGAAAGACAUCACUCACAGAAGAAGCACCGGCUAACUCCGUGCCAGCAGCCGCGGUAAUACGGAGGGUGCGAGCGUUAAUCGGAAUUACUGGGCGUAAAGCGCGCGUAGGUGGCUUGAUAAGCCGGUUGUGAAAGCCCCGGGCUCAACCUGGGAACGGCAUCCGGAACUGUCAAGCUAGAGUGCAGGAGAGGAAGGUAGAAUUCCCGGUGUAGCGGUGAAAUGCGUAGAGAUCGGGAGGAAUACCAGUGGCGAAGGCGGCCUUCUGGACUGACACUGACACUGAGGUGCGAAAGCGUGGGUAGCAAACAGGAUUAGACACCCUUGUAGUC
Molecule: ribosomal RNA, 465 nt
Filed under: Vreelandella stevensii
Lineage: Bacteria; Pseudomonadati; Pseudomonadota; Gammaproteobacteria; Oceanospirillales; Halomonadaceae
Description: partial 16S ribosomal RNA
Rfam family: Bacterial small subunit ribosomal RNA
Source: RNAcentral